UAUCGUGAGGUAGCGGGGAGAGGAAGGGAUAGCGAAAUCGAGGCUCUACGAAUAGAAACGUGAUACAAGGCGUUAACAGCGGAUGAGGUGACCAAAAACACUAAAGUCCAAGAAGGUAGUCGUAACCUGUUGGCGUAAAUCACGAGAGUAAUCGAGGAAAGAUG
RNAcentral lists this non-coding RNA (164 nucleotides) under Streptococcus gallolyticus. Lineage: Bacteria; Bacillati; Bacillota; Bacilli; Lactobacillales; Streptococcaceae. The record is from RNAcentral.